Molecule: long non-coding RNA, 1154 nt
Filed under: Sus scrofa (pig)
Lineage: Eukaryota; Metazoa; Chordata; Mammalia; Artiodactyla; Suidae
Description: lncRNA (ENSSSCG00045030210.1)
Source: RNAcentral
CCCGAGGGAUUUUUUCUUUUAGCUGGUCCAUGUCCCAGGUCUUGGCCUCCCAGGGCCCAUCAAGAUUUUUCCCUUCAAGUCCCUUCGGCAGCUGGAGCUCCGAGGCGUCCCCCUCCACUGCCUCCAUGGCCUCCGUGGCAUCUAUUCCCAGCUGGAGACCCUGAUUUGCAGCAGGAGCCUCCAGGCAUUAGAGGUGAGGAGAGUGAAGAGUGGGCCCAAGUGCCUUGUCCUGAGGGUCAUGGAGGGCCUGGCUCUGACAUUGCCCCUUCCCUGCAGCCUUCCUUGCCUCCCUCCUCCCUCUGGACAGUGUACUUGCUCCCUCUGCUGAGCUGCCCCAGCACUCUGUGCCUGUCCGUAUAUUUACAGUCCCACCUAGCAUACUGUAUUCGAUAUCCUCGCGUCUGCCCCCCCACUCUCCCCACAGUGAGCUCCUGGGGGACGGGGCCCUGGGUUUUCUUUAAGUCUGCAUCUCCAGACCCAGCUCAGUAUAUAAAGAAUGAACGAAUGGCCGGGUGAUAGAGUGUGGCCUUGGCAGGUGGGGCGCGGGGAGUGGAGGUAGCAGCACCCGCCUGCCCACACAGGAGCUCCUUUCAGCCUGCGGUGGCGACCUCUGCUCUGCCCUGCCCUGGCUGGCUCUGCUCUCUGCCGACUUCAGCUACAACGCAUUGACUGCCCUAGAUAGCUCGCUGGUGAGUGAGCCGCUGAAGGGGCUUUGGGAAAUGACAGAGAUGGGCCCUAAACGAGGAGGGCCAGCUCUGCCUGGGGGCGUCUGAUUGUCUGCUUCCUCUUCCCAUCCCCACAGCGUCUCUUGUCAGCUCUGCGCUUCCUGAACCUGAGCCACAAUCAAGUCCAGGACUGUGAGGCCUUCCUGAUGGUGGGUGUGAGCAGCCUGGCUGGGCCAGUGCCCUGGGACCUCCGGUCAUUCUGCUCUGACCCUCUCUCCGGGACCCGUUUUGCUCCCACCUUGCCCUGCACCGCCCCCCUACCCAGCCCUGCCCCACCCAAAUGAGCUACAUCCUGGGGGGCAGUACUGUUGGGAGGCACAGCCUCUAACACAAGAUCUCAACUCCUGAUCCCUGUGUGACUUGGGGCAAAUUAAGCCCUUUCAAUUUUUUUCAUUUGUAAAGUGCAAAUCAUAGGAGUACCUUUUUUUU